This 87-nucleotide transfer RNA is filed under the name Candidatus Rokuibacteriota bacterium. RNAcentral describes it as "tRNA-Leu". It matches the Rfam family "tRNA". From Rfam's summary of the family: Transfer RNA (tRNA) molecules are approximately 80 nucleotides in length. Their secondary structure includes four short double-helical elements and three loops (D, anti-codon, and T loops). RNAcentral also lists the same sequence under 1 other name. Lineage: Bacteria; Candidatus Rokuibacteriota. The record is from RNAcentral.
GCCGGUGUGUCGGAACUGGCAGACGAUCUCGACUCAAAAUCGAGUGCCCGCAAGGGCGUAGGGGUUCGAGUCCCCUCACCGGCACCA